RNAcentral lists this ribosomal RNA (486 nucleotides) under uncultured bacterium. Its description in RNAcentral is "bacterial SSU rRNA". It matches the Rfam family "Bacterial small subunit ribosomal RNA", at positions 30 to 507 of the family's 1533-position model. The record is from RNAcentral.
AUUGAACGCUGGCGGAAUGCUUUACACAUGCAAGUCGAACGGCAGCAUAGGUGCUUGCACCUGAUGGCGAGUGGCGAACGGGUGAGUAAUACAUCGGAACGUGCCCAGUCGUGGGGGAUAACGUAGCGAAAGUUACGCUAAUACCGCAUACGAUCUACGGAUGAAAGCGGGGGACCGUAAGGCCUCGCGCGAUUGGAGCGGCCGAUGUUAGAUUAGGUAGUUGGUGGGGUAAAGGCUCACCAAGCCGACGAUCUAUAGCUGGUCUGAGAGGAUGAUCAGCCACACUGGGACUGAGACACGGCCCAGACUCCUACGGGAGGCAGCAGUGGGGAAUUUUGGACAAUGGGCGCAAGCCUGAUCCAGCCAUUCCGCGUGCAGGACGAAGGCCUUCGGGUUGUAAACUGCUUUUGUACAGAACGAAAAGCCUUGGGUUAAUACCCUAGGGUCAUGACGGUACUGUAAGAAUAAGCACCGGCUAACUACGUG